UAAGGGAUAUUGGUCAAUGGACGCAAGUCUGAACCAGCCAUGCCGCGUGAAGGAUGAAGGUCCUCUGGGUUGUAAACUUCUUUUAUCUGGGACGAAAACGGGAUUUUUAUCUCAAUUGACGGUACCAGAGGAAUAAGCACCGGCUAACUCCGUGCCAGCAGCCGCGGUAAUACGGAGGGUGCGAGCGUUAUCCGGCUUUACUGGGUUUAAAGGGUGCGUAGGUGGGCUUAUAAGUCAGUGGUGAAAUCUCCGAGCUUAACUUGGAAACUGCCGUUGAUACUAUAGGUCUUGAAUUAUCUGGAGGUAAGCGGAAUAUGUCAUGUAGCGGUGAAAUGCUUAGAUAUGACAUAGAACACCAAUUGCGAAGGCAGCUUACUACAUAUAAAUUGACGCUGAGGCACGAAAGCGUGGGGAUCAAACA
Molecule: ribosomal RNA, 421 nt
Filed under: uncultured bacterium
Lineage: Bacteria
Description: bacterial SSU rRNA
Rfam family: Bacterial small subunit ribosomal RNA
Source: RNAcentral